This 274-nucleotide ribosomal RNA is filed under the name uncultured bacterium. RNAcentral describes it as "partial 16S ribosomal RNA". It matches the Rfam family "Bacterial small subunit ribosomal RNA", at positions 523 to 796 of the family's 1533-position model. The record is from RNAcentral.
AUACGGAGGGUGCAAGCGUUAAUCGGAAUUACUGGGCGUAAAGCGCGCGUAGGCGGCUGAUUAAGUCGGAUGUGAAAUCCCUGGGCUCAACCUAGGAACCGCAUCCGAUACUGGUCAGCUAGAGUUUUGGAGAGGUAAGUGGAAUUUCCGGUGUAGCGGUGAAAUGCAUAGAGAUCGGAAGGAACACCAGUGGCGAAGGCGACUUACUGGCCAAAAACUGACGCUGAGGUGCGAAAGCGUGGGUAGCGAACAGGAUUAGAAACCCUAGUAGUCC